Molecule: transfer RNA, 74 nt
Filed under: Mycobacterium sp.
Lineage: Bacteria; Bacillati; Actinomycetota; Actinomycetes; Mycobacteriales; Mycobacteriaceae
Also listed under: 2 other names
Description: tRNA-Gly
Rfam family: tRNA
About the family: Transfer RNA (tRNA) molecules are approximately 80 nucleotides in length.
Source: RNAcentral
GCGGGUGUAGCUCAACGGUAGAGCCCCAGCCUUCCAAGCUGGUCACGCGGGUUCGACUCCCGUCACCCGCUCCA